GAGAGAGGCUCGCAGCAACGAAGACUGCUAAUCCUCGUAACCUGGGUUGGACUCCCAUGCUCACUCG
RNAcentral lists this transfer RNA (67 nucleotides) under Plectorhinchus cinctus (crescent sweetlips). RNAcentral describes it as "tRNA-Ser". Lineage: Eukaryota; Metazoa; Chordata; Actinopteri; Lutjaniformes; Haemulidae. The record is from RNAcentral.